This 845-nucleotide long non-coding RNA is filed under the name Gallus gallus (chicken). RNAcentral describes it as "lncRNA (ENSGALG00010006348.1)". Lineage: Eukaryota; Metazoa; Chordata; Aves; Galliformes; Phasianidae. The record is from RNAcentral.
GUAUUUAAAUAUCAACUCUCUUUUGUUACAGCUGUGUAAGAGCCAUAUAAAAUCAAGUAACAUGUAGGAGAGAAAAGGGGUCAUGAAGGAGGAGUUUGAGCAAAAAGUAAUGCUAAAAAAGAAAAAAAAAUCCAUUGCAAAUGGUAAUGUAAAUAAGGUAAAACUUGAAAACUAUGAAGCAAUACUGCAGAUAGUCAUGUCUGAAGGAAUACCUAGAGGGUUCUUUUUGGUGGUGAUCUUCACUCCUGGAUCUGAAUUUUUCUGGACUGUCUCCCUUACCACUUCUGCAGGACACAAUUGCAACAGAAUUUUCCUUGAAUCAACGGAGGACUAUUACUUGAUGAGAUCAUUGUUUUCAGACAAUGAUUUAUGGGCAGCUGGAAUUUGCAUGCAUUGCUCCGAAUCUGUGGAAGAAUCUAUGUGGUUGUUCAUGGCCUUCAGAAACAUGGAUGCUGCAAAGCAGAGCUAUGGAGAAUAUGGAAAGCAGGCUCAAAAAGCAUCUGCAAACCUGUGCCAAUAUUACUGCCUCUGUCAUCAAGCAAUGGAAAGGUUUUUCUAGUUAAAUUCAAGUAAUUAAAUCUCCCUGCUCUCAUUAAAAAAAAUACAACUGUCUGCUGCUGGUCUGAAGAAUUGCACAGAGUGAACGUAAAUUUUAAUUUCAUGGUGCAAGUGUUAAAUUAUUGCCAUCUAAGCUGUCUGCCAGUGUUACAUGAAAUCCCACCACAUUUUAAUAAUUCUCCCUUUGUUUUGGAUGGAAAUACCACGUGUUGUGAUUUGGAAGUUUUUAUGUGCAAUUAGAGCCCUGAGAACUACAACAUAAUCACAUUCAAUUCACCUAAUUGGAC